AUUGGGCCUCUUCUUCUCGUAUUUCAUUAAUUGUUUCAAAAUUUUGUAUUGGGAGUCGAAAUGAUCUAAUUAAUUGAUGGGUUUCAACUUUAACGGUUUGGGUUGUUUGGUUAUAUUGUCAAUAGUAUUGUGGGUGGUUUAGGCUGGAGUUUAAUGUUUAAUUAUUUGAGGGUUCUGGGUGAAGCUGGUAGAUUCAUGUAA
RNAcentral lists this unclassified non-coding RNA (201 nucleotides) under Hevea brasiliensis (rubber tree). Lineage: Eukaryota; Viridiplantae; Streptophyta; Magnoliopsida; Malpighiales; Euphorbiaceae. The record is from RNAcentral.